GAUAAUAGCGAGGCAGCAGUGCAGCUUUCAGAGGGUCCGGGCUCAGAGGGGUUAUGAUUCGGAGGGUUCUGCCGCACGGCAUGGGCCGGGGCCUCUUGACCCGGAGGCCAGGCACGCGCAGAGGAGGCUUUUCUCUGGGUAAAGUUGAGGACGACAGAGGGUAUUGUGGUUCUGGGUUGUCCCCAACCUCCGACUGUGUGUCCUUCAGGACCCGAAACCAUGGCCCACACUGGCAGGACAGUGGGUCGGCUUGGGGAAGGGGACUGGGAUGGAAAGGUGUCUGAGAUUAAGAAGAAGAUCAAGUCGAUCCUGCCUGGAAGGUCCUGUGAUCUACUGCAAGACACCAGCCACCUGCCUCCCGAGCACUCGGAUGUGGUGAUCGUGGGAGGUGGGGUGCUUGGCUUGUCUGUGGCCUAUUGGCUGAAGAAGCUGGAGAGCAGACGAGGUGCUAUUCGAGUGCUAGUGGUGGAACGGGACCACACGUAUUCACAGGCCUCCACUGGGCUCUCAGUAGGUGGGAUUUGUCAGCAGUUCUCAUUGCCUGAGAACAUCCAGCUCUCCCUCUUUUCAGCCAGCUUUCUACGGAACAUCAAUGAGUACCUGGCCGUAGUCGAUGCUCCUCCCCUGGACCUCCGGUUCAACCCCUCGGGCUACCUCUUGCUGGCUUCAGAAAAGGAUGCUGCAGCCAUGGAGAGCAACGUGAAAGUGCAGAGGCAGGAGGGAGCCAAAGUUUCUCUGAUGUCUCCUGAUCAGCUUCGGAACAAGUUUCCCUGGAUAAACACAGAGGGAGUGGCUUUGGCGUCUUAUGGGAUGGAGGACGAAGGUUGGUUUGACCCCUGGUGUCUGCUCCAGGGGCUUCGGCGAAAGGUCCAGUCCUUGGGAGUCCUUUUCUGCCAGGGAGAGGUGACACGUUUUGUCUCUUCAUCUCAACGCAUGUUGACCACAGAUGACAAAGCGGUGGUCUUGAAAAGGAUCCAUGAAGUCCAUGUGAAGAUGGACCGCAGCCUGGAGUACCAGCCUGUGGAAUGCGCCAUUGUGAUCAACGCAGCCGGAGCCUGGUCUGCGCAAAUCGCAGCACUGGCUGGUGUUGGAGAGGGGCCGCCUGGCACCCUGCAGGGCACCAAGCUACCUGUGGAGCCGAGGAAAAGGUAUGUGUAUGUGUGGCACUGCCCCCAGGGACCAGGCCUAGAGACUCCGCUUGUUGCAGACACCAGUGGAGCCUAUUUUCGCCGGGAAGGAUUAGGUAGCAACUACCUAGGUGGUCGUAGCCCCACUGAGCAGGAAGAACCGGACCCGGCGAACCUGGAAGUGGACCAUGAUUUCUUCCAGGACAAGGUGUGGCCCCAUUUGGCCCUGAGGGUCCCAGCUUUUGAGACUCUGAAGGUUCAGAGCGCCUGGGCCGGCUAUUACGACUACAACACCUUUGACCAGAAUGGCGUGGUGGGCCCCCACCCGCUAGUUGUCAACAUGUACUUUGCUACUGGCUUCAGUGGUCACGGGCUCCAGCAGGCCCCUGGCAUUGGGCGAGCUGUAGCAGAGAUGGUACUGAAGGGCAGGUUCCAGACCAUCGACCUGAGCCCCUUCCUCUUUACCCGCUUUUACUUGGGAGAGAAGAUCCAGGAGAACAACAUCAUCUGAGCAUGUGUGCUCUGCACUGGCUCCACUGGCUUGCAUCCUGGCUGUGUUCACAGCCUUGUUUGCUGCUUCCAUCUUCCCCAGUACUGUGCCAGGCCUUCUCCCCCUCCCCAGUGUCCUCUCCUCUCAGGCAGGCCAUUGCACCCAUAUGGCUGGGCAGGCACAGGCAGUGAGGCCGAGGCCAAUAGCGAGUGAUGAGCGGGAUCCUAGGACUGAUCUGUAGCCCAUGCUGAUGUCACCCACCAGGGCAAUCCAUCUGGAGGCCUGAGCACCCUGGCCCAGGACUGGCUUCAUCCUGGCACUGACCAGGAAAGACUGCCUCUGACCCUCUUAGCAGACAGAGCCCAGGCAUGGGAGCACUCUGGGGCAGCCUGGCUCAGGUUUAUUGAUUUUCGUCUGUUUACCCUAUCCAUUAAUCAAUACAUGUAAUUAACUCCUUC
RNA transcript from Homo sapiens (human), 2075 nucleotides. It is a transcript of the gene named FAD dependent oxidoreductase domain containing 1, with no coding region annotated. Lineage: Eukaryota; Metazoa; Chordata; Mammalia; Primates; Hominidae. The transcript has 11 exons. The record is from RefSeq and is marked reviewed.